UGGGGAAUUUUGGACAAUGGGGGCAACCCUGAUCCAGCAAUGCCGCGUGUGUGAAGAAGGCCUUCGGGUUGUAAAGCACUUUUGUCCGGAAAGAAAACUUCGGGGCUAAUACCCCUGGAGGAUGACUGUACCGGAAGAAUAAGCACCGGCUAACUACGUGCCAGCAGCCGCGGUAAUACGUAGGGUGCGAGCGUUAAUCGGAAUUACUGGGCGUAAAGCGUGCGCAGGCGGUGCUGGAAGACCGAUGUGAAAUCCCCGGGCUUAACCUGGGAACUGCAUUGGUGACUGCAGCGCUGGAGUAUGGCAGAGGGGGGUGGAAUUCCACGUGUAGCAGUGAAAUGCGUAGAGAUGUGGAGGAACACCGAUGGCGAAGGCAGCCCCCUGGGCCAAUACUGACGCUCAUGCACGAAAGCGUGGGGAGCAAACAGG
RNAcentral lists this ribosomal RNA (429 nucleotides) under Bacillota bacterium. RNAcentral's name for it is "Firmicutes bacterium partial 16S ribosomal RNA". It matches the Rfam family "Bacterial small subunit ribosomal RNA", at positions 355 to 776 of the family's 1533-position model. Lineage: Bacteria; Bacillati; Bacillota. The record is from RNAcentral.